Molecule: ribosomal RNA, 288 nt
Filed under: uncultured bacterium
Lineage: Bacteria
Description: partial 16S ribosomal RNA
Rfam family: Bacterial small subunit ribosomal RNA
Source: RNAcentral
AACGAACGCUGGCGGCAGGCCUAACACAUGCAAGUCGAACGCCGACGCACCUUCGGGUGUUUAGGAGUGGCAGACGGGUGAGUAACGCGUGGGAACCUACCUUUAGGUACGGAAUAACGCAGGGAAACUUGUGCUAAUACCGUAUGAUCCCUUCGGGGCAAAGAUUUAUCGCCUAAAGAUGGGCCCGCGUUAGAUUAGCUAGUUGGUGAGGUAAUGGCUCACCAAGGCGACGAUCUAUAGCUGGUUUGAGAGGAUGAUCAGCCACACUGGAACUGAGACACGGUCCAG